CCCCACAGGCCGCGUGUUUGAGAUCCCUGACCUAAGUUAUGUUACUCCAACUGAGUACCGGGGUUGACUGGAGAACGCUCUGUAGUCGAUUUAGCAGGACUUCACGAGACCUGCUAAAUAGACCCCUGCUGCAUCGAUUGCAGCAGUGUCAAUCUCCCCAUAGUAUAGAUCAGCCUUAGGAGUGUGUUGGGAUCACUCUGAAAACAGUAACCAGGGCUGCUGGAAGCCAGAUUUGCUGACAGGCUGCUGGAGUCAGAGCUGCUGAACCAGAGCAGUGACUAUACACAGACACUCAGGAUGUGACCUGCAUGCUGUUUGUGAGGAGCUACAGCAUCAAACCAGGGCAAGUGUUGAGCAUAGGGUUGCCAACAGUCCCUUAUUAGAAGGGAGGUCCCUUAUUUUUUCCUCUCUGUACAACAAGAUCGGGAGUUGCUGAGUGCUGCAAAAAGCAGCAAAAAACAUGCUUGGUGAAUGUAGACCCGAUCAUGGAAAAACUGUUAAAGCUCAGUGGAAGUUCUGUUCUUCUGAAUACGUAACACAUGUAGAUAGAAUGGCGAAACACUUGUUGAAUUCUUGUGACAUGUGUCCAGCUACUCUCAAACAUAGCUUGUUGCAGUCAAACAGCAAGAAAGGGAAAAAAUUCUGUGCAUUCUCCUUCUACUUUGUCUUUGGCAACAUCAUCAUGAAGCUUGGAGUCUACUGAUGAAGAUAGUGCCAUGAGUGACAAUGAAAGUGAAGCUAAUUCCAUUUCUUCAUCUUCUAAUAAGAAUUUUGCUACUCCAUUUUCUUCAGCAUCAAAAACUACUCCUGGAAAGUCUUCAGACGUUCAUCCAAUUGGUAUUAAGAGUUUUCGGGUAGAAUGUCCCAUGGCCAGAAAAACGAACUUGACUGUAGAUUCAUUAGGGGUAUUUAUGUUGGCAAUACACUAUUUCAUAUAGUUGAAAAUUCUUAUAUGCUAGAAUUUUUCCAUCAGUUAAAUCCAAUUUGCCAAGUAUCAAGUAGGAAAUGGCUUGAAAGAAGUCUUCUGAAUGCUGAAGUAGACAAUGUGAAAAAGAGAGUUGGUGUUCUUAUUGCACAAGCUCCUCACAUGUCUCCAGAGUCUAAUGAAUGGCACAAUACCCUCAAAGAGGGCAUCAUCAACUUCAUGAUAACAACUCCACAACCAAUGUUUUAUUCAUUCCAAUGUAUAACUCAGCAUCACCACAUAGCCCGCAUAUUGCUGACAAGUUAAAAAUAUAAUCAGUGGGUCCAUGGAAAGUUAUUUUGGUUGUGACCAACAAAAUAGCUAAUAUGAAAGCCGUUUCGGACUCUGUUGAUAAAUGAUUAUCCCUAGCUUCUGUGUUACAGAUGUGCUGCCCAUAAAAUGCAGCUUUUCACUCGUGAUGUUGAAGAUCUGACAACUUUCUCAUCACAUGUGUAAAAAGUGAAAAGCAUUGUCAAGAUUUUCAAAAACAAAAAAAUACCAGCAUCUGUUUUCCGGCGUGUUUUUUUUAAAAGUACUCAAUUUCAUCCACACCGAGUAAGCCUUGUUGUGCUUAUCAUAGAAUCAUAGAAUCAUAGAAUAUCAGGGUUGGAAGGGACCCCAGAAGGUCAUCUAGUCCAACCCCCUGCUCGAAGCAGGACCAAUUCCCAGUUAAAUCAUCCCAGCCAGGGCUUUGUCAAGCCUGACCUUAAAAACCUCUAAGGAAGGAGAUUCUACCACCUCCCUAGGUAACGCAUUCCAGUGUUUCACCACCCUCUUAGUGAAAAAGUUUUUCCUAAUAUCCAAUCUAAACCUCCCCCACUGCAACUUGAGACCAUUACUCCUCGUUCUGUCAUCUGCUACCAUUGAGAACAGUCUAGAGCCAUCCUCUUUGGAACCCCCUUUCAGGUAGUUGAAAGCAGCUAUCAAAUCCCCCCUCAUUCUUCUCUUCUGCAGGCUAAACAAUCCCAGCUCCCUCAGCCUCUCCUCAUAACUCAUGUGUUCCAGACCCCUAAUCAUUUUUGUUGCCCUUCGCUGGACUCUCUCCAAUUUAUCCACAUCCUUCUUGAAGUGUGAGGUCCAAAACUGGACACAGUACUCCAGAUGAGGCCUCACCAAUGUCGAAUAGAGGGGAACGAUCACGUCCCUCGAUCUGCUCGCUAUGCCCCUACUUAUACAUCCCAAAAUGCCAUUGGCCUUCUUGGCAACAAGGGCACACUGCUGACUCAUAUCCAGCUUCUCGUCCACUGUUACCCUUAGGUCCUUUUCCGCAGAACUGCUGCCUAGCCAUUCGGUUCCUAGUCUGUAGCUGUGCAUUGGGUUCUUCCGUCCUAAGUGCAGGACCCUGCACUUAUCCUUAUUGAACCUCAUCAGAUUUCUUUUGGCCCAAUCCUCCAAUUUGUCUAGGUCCUUCUGUAUCCUAUCCCUCCCCUCCAGCGUAUCUACCACUCCUCCCAGUUUAGUAUCAUCCGCAAAUUUGCUGAGAGUGCAAUCCACACCAUCCUCCAGAUCAUUUAUGAAGAUAUUGAACAAAACCGGCCCCAGGACCGACCCUUGGGGCACUCCACUUGAUACCGGCUGCCAACUAGACAUGGAGCCAUUGAUCACUACCCGUUGAGCCUGACAAUCUAGCCAGCUUUCUACCCACCUUGACGCUUGACGGGCAUCUUCUAUUAAAUGUCUCAAAGAUCUUCAGAUAUGCAAGAAGGUUCUUAAUUCAGCAGCUGUUGAAGGAGGGGUUGCCAGAGGUUGCCCCCAAGUAAUCUGCACUGACAUUCUUGAUGACAAUGUCUUUUGGAUGUGAAACUCAAAAUUAUUUCACUGCUUGAACCCAUGGCUCAGUCCAUUGAGAAUAUAGAAAAAUGACAAUUGUACAAUGUCUGAUGCCAAGAACGAAUUCCUGAACUUUAAGAAAUGUUUGUGGGGAUACUGAAAACAGUCAUAAAAGUUGAAAAGAAAAAAAUAAUAAAACAAUAUCAUAGAAAAAUUGAGUGAUCUCUCCAACACAUAAUGCUGCCUACCUUCUUUAUGCACACUUCCAGGAAGAUGUUUAUGAUGAACCUGAUUUCGCUUGUGAGUGCCUAGUGGCUGUUGCAAAUUUCAAAGGAUAUACAAACAGUUCUGAUGGAGGUAGCAAACUGUAAAACAAGAAGCAGCUUGUUCAGUCAUAAAACAAUGUGGAGUGCUAUCCCAGCAGUUGAAUCAAAACAGCUUACUCCAUCAGGGUGAAAAGUGUUGUGGCCUCCUUGCAAUCUAGAUACAGUGGCAGAAAUUCUUUUAACACUUCUGUGUAUUACUGCGGGUGUGGAACAAAAUUGGUCAGGCUGGGGAAUCAUCGAUUUAAAAACCAGAAAUAGACUGAAGACUUCUAACGACCGGGAAGCUGGUGACUGUGUUUCACAAUUUAAGAUUAAAGAAGAAAGUGGCAGAUGAAGCACUGACUCAGUAUUCAUCACAUGAAGAGGAAGAAGGGGAUAUUGAUGGAUUUGAUGAAGAUGACAACAAAAACACAGAUGAAGCAGUUGAAGCUGAUAAAGAAAGAGAUGAUGAUGAAAAUCAAGAUGCUUGACAAGUUGGCCUGCUGUCUACUUAGCAUAAAUGCAUUUUAAAAUGAGAUUUUUUUUACAGCUGCUAUAUGUUUGUUUUAUUUCUCUUUUAUGUAAUUUUUCUUUUUUUUUUUUUUUUGGUAACUGUUCAGUCUUGAAUGACAUUCACAAUUAAAUCCUAACUUAAUGUUGCUAAAAUCAAUUAUAAUAAUUAUUUAAUAUUUUAGAGCUUCAUUUCAUUGUGUUUUACAUUUUUCUGAGUUAAAAUAACUCAGUUAAAUAACUUGUUUUUUGUAAUUACGUAUAAGUAUCUAUCUAAGGCUAAGAUUAUUGAAGACUAUUACGUCUUUAAAAUAUUUGACCAUUUUUUACAUUACACGAGACCCUCACUAGAACGCGGGAUUUGGGAUCCAUUAACGGUACCACGUUAACGCAGGGACCGCGUUAUAGUGGGGACCACAUUAAAAUGAAUUCCAAUUAAAGUAAUUAAAUUUGGGAUCCAUGGCUGCAACCGCGUUAUAUGCAAAUUCGCGCUAUAUAGACGCGUGUUCUAGUGAGGGUCCGGUGUAUUUGACAAUAUUUGCCCGAUGUUUUAGUGGACAAUUGACCAAUAGUUUUGGACUGGUCAAAUGCCCAAUCCUACUUUAUUAGAAUAAAGAAAACAGUAUUACCUUUAA
Caretta caretta (loggerhead turtle) is the source of this 4184-nucleotide long non-coding RNA. RefSeq lists it as uncharacterized. The record is from RefSeq and is a predicted model, not a curated record. Lineage: Eukaryota; Metazoa; Chordata; Testudines; Cheloniidae.